AUUUCUUAAUGCUGGGCUGAAGAUAUCGUGUGAUUAAUGUGGCUUUUCUGCAUGCGCCAUUAAGCUCAUUUAGAGUCCUUGCAGAUCUCCUGUCGCAUGGCCCAGGGUCACUCUGAUGACGAAGAUGCAGGAUUUUCCCUUUGGGAAUAAGCAAAAAGAUCCAGAACCGACGCAGAUGGAGUGAGCCAUUUGGAGAGGAGAAGUCGAGAGAGGGGAGUCUUGUUCCUCAUAGGGGCCGUGCACAAUCCUGAUUUGAUGGAGAUGGGCGUGAGAAGCACAGAGGAUCAUCUGGAGAAACUUCUGAAAUGCCCGGUUCGCUGCCGCUGCUACAGUGCGAUCGAGAAUCUCCGGAGGGGAAGGCCCCAAAUCCUCGGCUUUGCCUGUUGCUGGCGGCCGGGGCUGGGGGCAAAGCGCUCGGCAGAGAUGGUGCUCGGUGUCGGAGAGCUGAUUGGAGGUUCGAAG
Long non-coding RNA from Mobula hypostoma (lesser devil ray), 462 nucleotides. RefSeq lists it as uncharacterized. The transcript has 3 exons. NCBI's taxonomy places the organism in Eukaryota, Metazoa, Chordata, Chondrichthyes, Myliobatiformes, Myliobatidae. The record is from RefSeq and is a predicted model, not a curated record.